AGAUGUGUAGGUGCUGCAUGGUUGUCGUCAGCUCGUGCCGUGAGGUGUCGGCUAAGUGCCAUAACGAGCGCAACCUCAUCAUUAGUUACCAUCAGGUAAGGCUGGGGACUCUAAUGAGACUGCCAUCGUAAGAUGUGAGGAAGGUGGGGAUGACGUCAAAUCAGCACGGCCCUUACGUCCGGGGCGACACACGUGUUACAAUGGGUGGUACAAAGGGCAGCUACCUGGCGACAGGAUGCUAAUCUCGAAAACCGCUCUCAGUUCGGAUCGGAGUCUGCAACUCGACUCCGUGAAGCUGGAUUCGCUAGUAAUCGCGCAUCAGCCACGGCGCGGUGAAUACGUUCCCGGGCCUU
This 353-nucleotide ribosomal RNA is filed under the name uncultured Proteiniphilum sp. Its description in RNAcentral is "bacterial SSU rRNA". It matches the Rfam family "Bacterial small subunit ribosomal RNA", at positions 1028 to 1382 of the family's 1533-position model. The record is from RNAcentral. Lineage: Bacteria; Pseudomonadati; Bacteroidota; Bacteroidia; Bacteroidales; Dysgonomonadaceae.